RNA transcript from Ictalurus furcatus (blue catfish), 4267 nucleotides. It is a transcript of the gene named coiled-coil domain-containing protein 138-like, with no coding region annotated. Lineage: Eukaryota; Metazoa; Chordata; Actinopteri; Siluriformes; Ictaluridae. The record is from RefSeq and is a predicted model, not a curated record. The transcript is spliced from 16 exons.
CUCUAGGAGAAAUGUUAGGUGAACUGCUCCCUCGUGAAGGGAAGUAAUCCUUUUUGAAAUAGCUGUGUGUGAGUGUGGAUGUGUUUGACAGGCUGAACAACACCGAGUGCUGACGUUCCUCCUGAUCGUUGAUGACACAAACAGGCAGUGAGUUAGUCAGACAUUAGCAGAGGGUGGGAGUGAGUAGAUCUGACGAUCAGCCUGAGAAUGCAGUGAUUAAUGCCAUCGUGGCGAGAGGGUAGAUUUACUGGUCAUUUUAUGUGUGUUUUGUGUAAAAUAGUCAACUAUAUUAACUAAUCAUGUUGGACUGAGAGUCAGUACCCUAGCUGAAUGUGCUGAUAUAUUCUGUAGAAUAUAUAUAUUAAAAAAACAAAAACAUUUUUCAAAUACACUACUGUAAAUAUAAAUAUACAUAUGGCAUAUGUUAAUAAAUUGCAUAGUAUUACAUCUGAUAUAUGGCUAUAUAUUUCUGUUAAAUUUUUUUUAUUCUGUUAGUUUUUAAAUUAUAUUUUUUAUUAGGUUGUUUUGCAAUUUCUUUUAGUCCUACAAAUAUUAUUUAUUAAUAUAUUGCUGUUCAAAUCCCACAAGUAUAAUUAUCAUUAUUAUUAUUAUUAGUAGUAGUACUAAUUAAAACUUUUUAAUGUGAAAUAUUUUAAUUGGAUUAUUUAUUUAUUUAUUUAUUUAUUUAUUUUAGAUUUUUUUAUACACAAAAAAUAGCACAAUUUAAAAAGUGUGAUUAUUUGUAUUGUGAAAUUGUAAAAUGGCGGACACUUCCGGUAUUGCUGAACAGGCUUAGUUAAUAUUUUUCACGCCCGUAUUCCGACAACUUCCGCCUUCUUGCGCAGCAUGGUCUUACAGUCAAUUGGAAAGUUUCGCUGUCAUUAGGAAGUAUUAGCCAAUCAGCGCGCAGGAGGCGGGAUUUGUCGUAAUGCAGGCGGGGGAUAAAGACCGUUCCUGGUUUGUUUGUGUUGUUAAUAAGAGUGGCGGCCAGUUUGAACUCUGAGAAUGAGCAGCGAGUUUUCCGGCAGUGAUUUAGACAUAAAGGUUGAAAUAUUGAAGAGGAAGUAUUUAGAGAGGAGAAAUCGGGUUUCUGUGACUGAAGGAGCCGAAGUGAGUGAGAAAUGUGGAGGAGCUGUGGAAAAACCAAAGUGCUGUGCGGUCAGGGGCAGGGAGGAAGUGACAUCACGCAGAGAGCUGAAGAGCUACAGCCGAGCGCUGGAGGAGCUUUUCCAGGCCGUGUCAGAUCCACCUGCAGGGCUCGAGCGUGAUGAGAGCGUUCUGAGCAGCGAAGAUGAGCUCAGUGACCAGACGGACGUCCUGGACCGUACCAACAUCCUGUGUACAGAGACGGACGUGACGCUGCCCUCCAGCGUAGCCUGCACUUCCAGCUCGCUUGAGACAGAGCCGGCGAGGUUCAGCGGAGGAGAGGGGCUGAGGAGCCAGGUGCCUGUUGAACAAGUGUACCAGGAGAUGAUUGAGAUUUAUGAAAGACUGCAGGUACGGGCGGCUGAGCUGUGUGAGCGUGAAUGCGAGCUCCAGCGGAGAGAGAAGCUUCUCCUAAAGCACCAGAGCACCGUAAACAGACUUCUCACUGUGGAGGAAGACGUACUAGAUCGCAUGAAUGCCAUGCAACAGGAACACCAGCAGGAGAUGGAGAAUCUCAGGGCUGCACUGAGAGAAAAGACCAAAGAGAACAAAAGGAUUAAAUCUAGUUUUGAUUCCAUCAAGGAGUUAAAUGACACCAUGAAGAAACAGCUGAGUGAAGUAAGCGAGCAGAACACCAGGCUGGAGAGCCAGUCACGGAAAGUUCAAGCUCGACUAGAAAACCUGCAGAGAAAGCACGAGCACUCGGUGUCGCAACGAGUGCGCGAAAACGUUGUGCUGAAGUCACGUGAUCUCAAACCAUCCAAUCAGGACAAACCUCCACCUCCCAACAAAGCUAGCAAGAGCUCGUCCAGUUCUUCAGCACUGAAGCUGCUCUGGUAUUUGAUGGACUGGAUGGUGGACGGUCCGCCUUUUUCCUCCGAAGACGUGAAAACGGAGCGCGAGUUUGACCCGUUUGAGGUUCCACGUCCCUCUCUACCUGAACGCUGCGCCAAGGUCCUUCCUGUUUUGCUGGAGCAGUUCCAGCAGGCCGAGGCGUUUCUUCACUCACCGCUCCUGCGCUUCAUCUACUGCGCCCUCACACAGCUGGAGCACAGCACACAGCACCUCCCUUUGACCUCAACGUUGAGGAGAUUAGGAGAGGAAGUGAACCGAAAAUCUCCUCCACUGUUCAGGAGCUCCUGCCCUCACACUCGCUUCUUAUCCUCCAUCAUUGUCCUCAAAACACUCAGCCAGGCAGACAUCUUGGCGCAGGCCCUCGACGUUUUGAACGGCAUCGUUGGAGAGGAUGAGGGGCGUGGCCUCUUCCUGAAGUACAAGGCCCUGACGGCCAUUUUAGCUGUGCUGAGGACAGGAAGUCCGGGACUGCUGGCUCCUUCACUGGACGUCCUGCUUCACAUGAGCACAGAGUCACGUCAUCUUCCUGCCUUCCUGGAAGCGUGUAGCACCGAUCAGUUCUUCCGUUGUGCUGCCGUACUUCUCCGAAACCCGCGGCUGGACCUCACCGUCGCAGAGAAGCUCAGCGUUCUCCUCCAGAAACUCUCCUGCAUCAGAAAGAACCGGCGUCUGUUCGAAGCGUCCUCACUGCACCUGCUGCUCCAGGAAGCGCAGUGCUCGGCAGAUCCGUCUCGAGCCUUCCUCAACAUCAACUUCAGCUCCAUCCUGUUUAAUUUGGGCGUGGCCUCCCGUUCCUGACACGCCCACAACCUAUACAGGAGAGACAAAUAAAUCAUAAACACAAUCAUAAACGUCGUGGCGUUUCUCAGCAUCGAGUCACGGAAGUGGACUGUGCCGGAGGACCUGACUUUACAAUGUGAAAGGAAGUUCUCGUUACGCUUUUUCGAAACAACUGGCCAGAUAAAUAAACAGAAGAGGAUUUGAUGAUUCGAUUUUGCUGAUGUGAACAUCAUGUGAGGGUUCCAAGACGAGCAGUUAGUGGUGGGGGGACGGGGUGGUUAACUGGCGUACACUCACACUCUGUCUCUCUCUCUCUCUCUCUCUCUCUCUCUCUCUCUCUCACACUCACUCUCACUCUCUCUCACACACACACACACACACACACACACACACACACACACACACACACUGAACUCAUAGCUGAAGCAUCCAGCUCAUAAGCCGAUCUGUCUGUUCUUGAGGGUAAAAUUAUUCCAAUUGGCUUUUCACGACGGUUGAUUUGUGUGUGUGCAGAUUUAUUUAUAAUAAUACUUUUGUUAUUGUUAUCAAUGUUUUAAUAAAUCAGUAAUACUUUGGAAACAGAUUAAAGGUUAUAUUUCAAAGUCUGUUUCAUUGUUUUCAACAAAAUCCAGCAUCAAGUGCCUGUUGAAAUACAACUGUGUUUGAUGUUGAGAUUAGAGAGUUUACUGUGCGUGUGCGUGUCUCUAAUACUCGUUCCAUAUUUCCGUAAUUCACAUAUACUGUGUAUACAAACUGUGUAUCCCUGAACACUCAGCUACAUGUCCAUGUGAGGUUCCUCCAGGUUCUCCAGUUUCCUCCUCCAUGUCGGUAUGUGGAUUGGCUCUAAUUUGCCCCUGUGUGUGUGUGUGUGUGUGUGUGUGUGUGUGUGUGUGUGUGUGUGUGUGUGUGUGUCUGGUGCCCUGUGAUGGACUGAUGUCCCAUCUCACCCAGUGUUCCCAGGACAGUCUCUGGAUCGACCCUGCGCAGGGUAAAAGUCUCACUGAAGGUGAAUGAGUGUAUUGCGUGUACAUUACCUGCACUUUAUCUGUGAUACUGGAACAGAAUUUCGCUGCCAUGUGCUCCAUGUAAUGUAUCUACGGUCUUAUCUAGGGAUGUGUAGAGCAGGAUGUGUGAGGUUUAGUCAGUAAUUUUUCUGGAAGUUAGCUAUAGAAGGCUGCAUUGAAACAGUAUAAAUAAACUCCGCCCGUUUAUCACUGUUCCCUACGAACUCUGCUCCUGGACACCUGAAUGCUAGCGCGAAGGGGCGGAGCUUUCAGAAUUAACAGGAAAGCAGAGAUGAACCAUUUUAUUGUGUAACAUCCAUGUAACCACGCUGCUGGGGAAAAAAACAAACGAAUUUGUAAUGGUUUUAAUGGGAAUUGUAUUGGUUUGAAUAGAAGCUGUAAUGUAACUGGUAAUUUGUUGCUUUCUAUUGGUGGCAUGUUAUGUCUAGUGGAUCCCAUUAAGGACCGACAUCCUUAACAUG